Poecilia reticulata (guppy) is the source of this 447-nucleotide long non-coding RNA. RefSeq lists it as uncharacterized. NCBI's taxonomy places the organism in Eukaryota, Metazoa, Chordata, Actinopteri, Cyprinodontiformes, Poeciliidae. The record is from RefSeq and is a predicted model, not a curated record.
AGCGCUAGCGUCCUUUUCUGUAGCUGGUCGCUGUGAGAAGCUUGCAGGAGUUCACAAUGCUUUACAAGAUUAUCAAUCUAGUUGCUUCAAAUGUCAAGUUGCUCGCUAAUCGCAUAUCAUUGGACGGUUACCUCUACGGACCAGAUGUUGGAUGAUGACUGUCUCAGGCUUUAGUGCAUUGAUCUAAUCAGUGAUGUUGAAGCGGGCUAUUCAAGCAUCAUGCAUAGAUUCAGCAAAUUACGCCAUGGGUGAACUCUGAAGAGCAGCAGUCAUUUUUGUUACGUUGAGAUGACGUUUAACGGCAGCAGUGAGCAGCGUGUGACGGCAGGAAACGGGUGAGGCGUUUCUACAGUCGUCCUGCGUCACUUGAAUUUUAUCGUCUCCAUCAUUCUGAAGACUGAUUUGCGUUUUCAUGCUUUUGUAAUAAAAAAAUUACAAAUCCCUAAA